CCUACACACAGAUCAAUCUUUGAGGGAGUUACAGGUUUGACUCAGACAUCCGUCGUCCCCUUAAGCUCAUCCGUGUCUGCACAGUGAACCUCGUGUCUACAAUGGCCAUGUGGCCGUCCUCUUAACAUAGUAAGUUACAACCUGUUAG
RNAcentral lists this long non-coding RNA (148 nucleotides) under Mus spicilegus (steppe mouse). Its description in RNAcentral is "lncRNA (ENSMSIG00000015582.1)". The record is from RNAcentral. Lineage: Eukaryota; Metazoa; Chordata; Mammalia; Rodentia; Muridae.